This 390-nucleotide unclassified non-coding RNA is filed under the name Eurytemora carolleeae. RNAcentral's name for it is "uncharacterized LOC111698446". Lineage: Eukaryota; Metazoa; Arthropoda; Copepoda; Calanoida; Temoridae. The record is from RNAcentral.
UCUCUGCUGCAUACCUCUACCCGAAAGAGUACGUAUACCUACCCAGCCUACCAUAACUCAGAGUAGUUUUGAAAGAGAGUACAGAAUAAACCAGAGAGUGAGAGCAGUCAGAAGACAGCAGAGUAAUGAGGAUGAUGAGAGUAGGUGUUCCUCUGGAUAUUCAUCAGAGGGAGAACCCGAGGAAUCUGCCAGCGUAUUGUAUUACAAGAUUGGGAGCUAUUUUUGGUAUAACCUAUUUCAAGCUGCCUCCGGGCUUGGAGACGAAACUUUCUGUGCUCCAGUUUUUAUUUUUAUCAUUCUUAAUUUAGAUGGAAAUAUUGGACGUCGGGUUCUUUUUAUUUACUGUCUUCUCAUGUACUUUGGACAGGUAGUGCGCACUUAUAUUGUACU